GUAACGGCCCAACAAGCCUGUAAUCGGUACGGGUUGUGGGAGCAAGAGCCCGGAGAUGGAUUCUGAGACAUGAAUCCAGGCCCUACGGGGCGCAGCAGGCGCGAAAACUUUACAAUGCGGGAAACCGUGAUAAGGGAACCCCGAGUGCCCGUAGAAUCGGGCUGUUGAUCUGUGUAAAAAGCAGGUAAAGAAAGGGCCGGGCAAGACCGGUGCCAGCCGCCGCGGUAAUACCGGCGGCUCGAGUGGUGGCCACUAUUACUGGGCUUAAAGCGUUCGUAGCUGGGUUGUUAAGUCUCUUGGGAAAUCCACCGGCUCAACCGAUGGGCGACCAGGGGAAACUGGCAUUCUAGGGACCGGGAGAGGUGAGAGGUACUCCAGGGGUAGGAGUGAAAUCCUGUAAUCCUUGGGGGACCACCGAUGGCGAAGGCAUCUCACCAGAACGGCUCCGACAGUGAGGAACGAAAGCUGGGGGAGCAAACCGGAUUAGAUACCCGGGUAGUCCCAGCUGUAAACGAUGCGCGUUAGGUGUAUCGGUGACCACGAGUUACCGAGGUGCCGAAGGGAAACCGUGAAACGCGC
This 579-nucleotide ribosomal RNA is filed under the name uncultured archaeon. RNAcentral describes it as "bacterial SSU rRNA". It matches the Rfam family "Archaeal small subunit ribosomal RNA", at positions 241 to 824 of the family's 1478-position model. The record is from RNAcentral.